This 300-nucleotide ribosomal RNA is filed under the name uncultured bacterium. RNAcentral's name for it is "bacterial SSU rRNA". It matches the Rfam family "Bacterial small subunit ribosomal RNA", at positions 502 to 793 of the family's 1533-position model. The record is from RNAcentral.
UCCGUGCCAGCAGCCGCGGUAAUACGGAGGGUGCGAGCGUUAAUCGGAAUUACUGGGCGUAAAGCGCAUGCAGGCGGCCUGUUAAGUCAGAUGUGAAAGCCCGGGGCGUUAACCUCGGAAUUGCAUUUGAAACUGGCAGGCUAGAGUCUUGUAGAGGGGGGUAGGGAAGUUUACUAGGUGUAGCGGUGAAAUAGCGUAGAGAUCUGAAGGAAUACCAGUGGCGAAGGCGGCCCCCUGGACAAAGACUGACGCUCAGAUGCGAAAGCGUGGGGAGCAAACAGGAUUAGAUACCCCUGGUAG